UACGAAGGGGGCUAGCGUUGUUCGGAUUUACUGGGCGUAAAGCGCACGUAGGCGGAUCGUUAAGUCGGGGGUGAAAUCCUGGAGCUCAACUCCAGAACUGCCUUCGAUACUGGCGAUCUUGAGUCCGGAAGAGGUGAGUGGAACUCCUAGUGUAGAGGUGGAAUUCGUAGAUAUUAGGAAGAACACCAGUGGCGAAAGGCGGCUCACUGGUCCGGUACUGACGCUGAGGCGCGACAGCGUGGGGAGCAAACAGG
This 254-nucleotide ribosomal RNA is filed under the name uncultured bacterium. RNAcentral describes it as "partial 16S ribosomal RNA". It matches the Rfam family "Bacterial small subunit ribosomal RNA", at positions 524 to 776 of the family's 1533-position model. The record is from RNAcentral.